CUACGGGGGGCAGCAGUGGGGAAUUUUGGACAAUGGGCGCAAGCCUGAUCCAGCCAUUCCGCGUGAGUGAAGAAGGCCUUCGGGUUGUAAAGCUCUUUCGCAAGGGAAGAACACUUAGCUACUAAUAUUAGCUGAGGUUGACGGUACCUUGAUAAGAAGCACCGGCUAACUACGUGCCAGCAGCCGCGGUAAUACGUAGGGUGCGAGCGUUAAUCGGAAUUACUGGGCGUAAAGCGUGCGCAGGCUGUUUUGUAAGUCAGAUGUGAAAUCCCCGAGCUCAACUUGGGAACUGCGUUUGAAACUACAAGACUAGAAUAUGUCAGAGGGGGGUAGAAUUCCACGUGUAGCAGUGAAAUGCGUAGAGAUGUGGAGGAAUACCAAUGGCGAAGGCAGCCCCCUGGGAUAAUAUUGACGCUCAUGCACGAAAGCGUGGGGAGCAAACAGGAUUAGAUACCCGGGUAGUC
This 464-nucleotide ribosomal RNA is filed under the name uncultured bacterium. Its description in RNAcentral is "partial 16S ribosomal RNA". It matches the Rfam family "Bacterial small subunit ribosomal RNA", at positions 339 to 795 of the family's 1533-position model. The record is from RNAcentral.